Molecule: long non-coding RNA, 546 nt
Organism: Macrosteles quadrilineatus (aster leafhopper)
Lineage: Eukaryota; Metazoa; Arthropoda; Insecta; Hemiptera; Cicadellidae
Exons: 3
Source: RefSeq, a predicted model, not a curated record
UAACAGUUAAGCGAUUCAAUCGGUUCUAGUCCAAUGGAAAAUAAUUGAAGUCGUUAAAUUGAGAGAUAGUCAAUGUUUUAUCUAAGUGUAUAGUGUAAGUUACUUUCGAACGAUACCGGAGGUACAAUGAUAAAGCUCCUAUGUGUAACUAUCACUCUUAUUAUUAUCGCCAGCGUGGUCGCUCGCCCGCUUACCAGAUCAGAGCAAAACAGGAUAUACCGUAAGAUCACGGAAAGCAUGGUAACCAAAUUGAAACGCACUCUUAAAAUAGCUAAAAACUCAGGCAGGAAAUAUUCUCCAGCAGAAGUGCAAGCUAUGAUGAGCAAAACAUUGCUUGACGAGCUGGCCAAAUAUCAGGUUGACAUACAAAGAUUACCUUUGAAAGGACGAAAACUUCCAGAUUUUUCUAUUGAACCGCGGUGGGAAAAGGAAGUCCAAAGAUAUGCCAAAGAUUUGACAGGUGGUGUUAAGGUGAAGAUCCCCACAUAUACAUUAUAACCAAAAGUGUUGAUAGUUUAGUUUGUUAAUCAGAUAUGUCUCAACAGA